This 386-nucleotide long non-coding RNA is filed under the name Dromaius novaehollandiae (emu). RNAcentral describes it as "lncRNA (ENSDNVG00000017032.1)". The record is from RNAcentral. Lineage: Eukaryota; Metazoa; Chordata; Aves; Casuariiformes; Dromaiidae.
AUAGAGUCCUUGUUCUUUUACACGCUUUCACAGAUCCUCCUAGAAUUUCAACACUUGGCGUCGUUUUUGUGAACCUCCACUCUCAUCACAAUGAUUGGAAUUCUGUAGAAAGAUUGAUCAUGCCGCGUUGUUCUAAGCAGUGGUAGGAACUCACAGAAAGACUUUUAAAAAUAUUAAGAUGAAUCUGUCAGAGAGCCACCCUUGGGACUGUGAGGGACCCUUGGCCUCCAACCAAUGAUCGGGUCUCUGACAAACAUGAGCCAGUGCCAUACCUUGAAAAAGAAAUAAGGUGAAGGGUUCAUCCAGAGUCACCACAGUUGAACUGAUGGACUGGUAAGAAGUGAAGAAGUCCUGAUAAUUAUUUAUCAGUCAUUCUUGUAAUUAGG